CGGGCGUUAAGUUGCAGGGUAUAGACCCGAAACCCGGUGAUCUAGCCAUGGGCAGGUUGAAGGUUGGGUAACACUAACUGGAGGACCGAACCGACUAAUGUUGAAAAAUUAGCGGAUGACCUGUGGCUGGGGGUGAAAGGCCAAUCAAACCGGGAGAUAGCUGGUUCUCCCCGAAAGCUAUUUAGGUAGCGCCUCGUGAAUUCAUCUCCGGGGGUAGAGCACUGUUUCGGCUAGGGGGCCAUCCCGGCUUACCAACCCGAUGCAAACUGCGAAUACCGGAGAAUGUUAUCACGGGAGACACACGGCGGGUGCUAACGUCCGUCGUGAAGAGGGAAACAACCCAGACCGCCAGCUAAGGUCCCAAAGUCAUGGUUAAGUGGGAAACGAUGUGGGAAGGCCCAGACAGCCAGGAUGUUGGCUUAGAAGCAGCCAUCAUUUAAAGAAAGCGUAAUAGCUCACUGGUCGAGUCGGCCUGCGCGGAAGAUGUAACGGGGCUAAACCAUGCACCGAAGCUGCGGCAGCGAACGUAUCACCCAAGACAACUUUACGGAGUUGACGAUUGACGGAGCGAAGCGACGUCAAAGCGUUCAUUAAAGUCGAGUUGGCUUAGGGAUACGUUCGUUGGGUAGGGGAGCGUUCUGUAAGCCUGUGAAGGUGUGUCGUGAGGCAUGCUGGAGGUAUCAGAAGUGCGAAUGCUGACAUAAGUAACGAUAAAGCGGGUGAAAAGCCCGCUCGCCGGAAGACCAAGGGUUCCUGUCCAACGUUAAUCGGGGCAGGGUGAGUCGACCCCUAAGGCGAGGCCGAAAGGCGUAGUCGAUGGGAAACGGGUUAAUAUUCCCGUACUUGGUGUUACUGCGAAGGGGGGACGGAGAAGGCUAUGUUGGCCGGGCGACGGUUGUCCCGGUUUAAGCGUGUAGGUGUGUGUUCCAGGUAAAUCCGGUUCACUUUAACACUGAGGCGUGACGACGAGGCACUACGGUGCUGAAGCAACAAAUGCCCUGCUUCCAGGAAAAGCCUCUAAGCAUCAGGUAACAUCAAAUCGUACCCCAAACCGACACAGGUGGUCAGGUAGAGAAUACCAAGGCGCUUGAGAGAACUCGGGUGAAGGAACUAGGCAAAAUGGUGCCGUAACUUCGGGAGAAGGCACGCUGACACGUAGGUGAAGUGAUUUACUCAUGGAGCUGAAGUCAGUCGAAGAUACCAGCUGGCUGCAACUGUUUAUUAAAAACACAGCACUGUGCAAACACGAAAGUGGACGUAUACGGUGUGACGCCUGCCCGGUGCCGGAAGGUUAAUUGAUGGGGUCAGCGCAAGCGAAGCUCCUGAUCGAAGCCCCGGUAAACGGCGGCCGUAACUAUAACGGUCCUAAGGUAGCGAAAUUCCUUGUCGGGUAAGUUCCGACCUGCACGAAUGGCGUAAUGAUGGCCAGGCUGUCUCCACCCGAGACUCAGUGAAAUUGAACUCGCUGUGAAGAUGCAGUGUACCCGCGGCAAGACGGAAAGACCCCGUGAACCUUUACUAUAGCUUGACACUGAACAUUGAGCCUUGAUGUGUAGGAUAGGUGGGAGGCUUUGAAGUGUGGACGCCAGUCUGCAUGGAGCCGACCUUGAAAUACCACCCUUUAAUGUUUGAUGUUCUAACGUGGACCCGUAAUCCGGGUUGCGGACAGUGUCUGGUGGGUAGUUUGACUGGGGCGGUCUCCUCCUAAAGAGUAACGGAGGAGCACGAAGGUUGGCUAAUCCUGGUCGGACAUCAGGAGGUUAGUGCAAUGGCAUAAGCCAGCUUGACUGCGAGCGUGACGGCGCGAGCAGGUGCGAAAGCAGGUCAUAGUGAUCCGGUGGUUCUGAAUGGAAGGGCCAUCGCUCAACGGAUAAAAGGUACUCCGGGGAUAACAGGCUGAUACCGCCCAAGAGUUCAUAUCGACGGCGGUGUUUGGCACCUCGAUGUCGGCUCAUCACAUCCUGGGGCUGAAGUAGGUCCCAAGGGUAUGGCUGUUCGCCAUUUAAAGUGGUACGCGAGCUGGGUUUAGAACGUCGUGAGACAGUUCGGUCCCUAUCUGCCGUGGGCGCUGGAGAACUGAGGGGGGCUGCUCCUAGUACGAGAGGACCGGAGUGGACGCAUCACUGGUGUUCGGGUUGUCAUGCCAAUGGCACUGCCCGGUAGCUAAAUGCGGAAGAGAUAAGUGCUGAAAGCAUCUAAGCACGAAACUUGCCCCGA
RNAcentral lists this ribosomal RNA (2217 nucleotides) under Salmonella enterica subsp. enterica serovar Typhimurium. Its description in RNAcentral is "partial 23S ribosomal RNA". It matches the Rfam family "Bacterial large subunit ribosomal RNA", at positions 689 to 2802 of the family's 2925-position model. The record is from RNAcentral. Lineage: Bacteria; Pseudomonadati; Pseudomonadota; Gammaproteobacteria; Enterobacterales; Enterobacteriaceae.